RNAcentral lists this ribosomal RNA (313 nucleotides) under uncultured bacterium. Its description in RNAcentral is "bacterial SSU rRNA". It matches the Rfam family "Bacterial small subunit ribosomal RNA", at positions 30 to 334 of the family's 1533-position model. The record is from RNAcentral.
AUUGAACGCUAGCGGGAUGCUUUACACAUGCAAGUCGAACGGCAGCGCGAGGUAAGCUUGCUUACCUUGGCGGCGAGUGGCGAACGGGUGAGUAAUGUAUCGGAACGCGCCCAGUAGCGGGGGAUAACUACUCGAAAGAGUGGCUAAUACCGCAUACGCCCUACGGGGAAAGGGGGGGAGUCUUAGGACCUCUCACUAUUGGAGCGGCCGAUAUCGGAUUAGCUAGUUGGUGGGGUAAAGGGCCUACCAAGGCGUCGAUCCGUAGCUGGUUUGAGAGGACGACCAGCCACACUGGGACUGAGACACGGCCCAG